Molecule: ribosomal RNA, 754 nt
Filed under: Fomitopsis pulverulenta
Lineage: Eukaryota; Fungi; Basidiomycota; Agaricomycetes; Polyporales; Fomitopsidaceae
Description: Flavidoporia pulverulenta partial large subunit ribosomal RNA
Rfam family: Eukaryotic large subunit ribosomal RNA
Source: RNAcentral
CCGUGUACAAGUCUCUUGGAACAGAGCGUCGUAGAGGGUGAGAAUCCCGUCUUUGACACGGACUACCAGUGCUUUGUGAUGCGCUCUCAAAGAGUCGAGUUGUUUGGGAAUGCAGCUCAAAAUGGGUGGUAAAUUCCAUCUAAAGCUAAAUAUUGGCGAGAGACCGAUAGCGAACAAGUACCGUGAGGGAAAGAUGAAAAGCACUUUGGAAAGAGAGUUAAACAGUACGUGAAAUUGCUGAAAGGGAAACGCUUGAAGUCAGUCGCGUUGGCUGGAACUCAGCCUUGCUUUUUUGCUUGGUGCAUUUUCUAGUUGACGGGCCAGCAUCGAUUUUGACUGCUGGAAAAAGGCUGGGGGAAUGUGGCACCUUCGGGUGUGUUAUAGCCCUCAGUCGCAUACAGUGGUUGGGAUCGAGGAUCGCAGCACGCCUUUAUGGCCGGGGUUCGCCCACGUUCGUGCUUAGGAUGCUGGCAUAAUGGCUUUAAACGACCCGUCUUGAAACACGGACCAAGGAGUCUAACAUGCCUGCGAGUGUUUGGGUGGAAAACUCGAGCGCGCAAUGAAAGUGAAAGUUGAGAUCCCUGUCAUGGGGAGCAUCGACGCCCGGACUUGAACUUCGGUGAUGGAUCCGCGGUAGAGCAUGUAUGUUGGGACCCGAAAGAUGGUGAACUAUGCCUGAAUAGGGUGAAGCCAGAGGAAACUCUGGUGGAAGCUCGUAGCGAUUCUGACGUGCAAAUCGAUCGUCAAAUUUGGG